UUGGGGGAUGUCUAUAGGUGUUUUUUAGAGAGGAGGGUGGACUUAAUGUUAGUGUAUUUAAGGUGGGGCUAUUGAUUGUUUUUUGAGAAGACACGCCAGCAGAUGAGCUCUGAACGGAGAAGUUGGAGAGCGUCCAAAGUUAGAGAGCGUCAAAAAGUUGUUUCGAGAUGGUUAAAGAUAUAACUGUGUUUGCUGACGUGCACGCAGUAUUUGACGACGACUUUAGCGGAGUUUAUUUAACACAAUCAGACUACGAUCUCGUGGCGGCUGCUACUAGGCUAAAAAAUCCACUGAUACAGACUGGUUUGGAGGCAGAACCAUCAGAGCAGCGUGAUUUCGG
Molecule: long non-coding RNA, 340 nt
Organism: Syngnathus typhle (broad-nosed pipefish)
Lineage: Eukaryota; Metazoa; Chordata; Actinopteri; Syngnathiformes; Syngnathidae
Exons: 3
Source: RefSeq, a predicted model, not a curated record